RNAcentral lists this ribosomal RNA (253 nucleotides) under uncultured bacterium. RNAcentral describes it as "partial 16S ribosomal RNA". It matches the Rfam family "Bacterial small subunit ribosomal RNA", at positions 524 to 776 of the family's 1533-position model. The record is from RNAcentral.
UACGUAGGGGGCAAGCGUUGUCCGGAAUCAUUGGGCGUAAAGAGCGUGUAGGCGGUCCUGUAAGUCCGCUGUGAAAGUCAAGGGCUCAACCCUUGAAUGCCGGUGGAUACUGCAGGACUAGAGUCCGGAAGAGGCGAGUGGAAUUCCUGGUGUAGCGGUGGAAUGCGCAGAUAUCAGGAGGAACACCGAUGGCGAAGGCAGCUCGCUGGGACGGUACUGACGCUGAGGCGCGAAAGCGUGGGGAGCGAACAGG